RNAcentral lists this ribosomal RNA (1147 nucleotides) under Salmonella enterica. Its description in RNAcentral is "partial 23S ribosomal RNA". It matches the Rfam family "Bacterial large subunit ribosomal RNA", at positions 711 to 1772 of the family's 2925-position model. The record is from RNAcentral. Lineage: Bacteria; Pseudomonadati; Pseudomonadota; Gammaproteobacteria; Enterobacterales; Enterobacteriaceae.
AGACCCGAAACCCGGUGAUCUAGCCAUGGGCAGGUUGAAGGUUGGGUAACACUAACUGGAGGACCGAACCGACUAAUGUUGAAAAAUUAGCGGAUGACCUGUGGCUGGGGGUGAAAGGCCAAUCAAACCGGGAGAUAGCUGGUUCUCCCCGAAAGCUAUUUAGGUAGCGCCUCGUGAAUUCAUCUCCGGGGGUAGAGCACUGUUUCGGCUAGGGGGCCAUCCCGGCUUACCAACCCGAUGCAAACUGCGAAUACCGGAGAAUGUUAUCACGGGAGACACACGGCGGGUGCUAACGUCCGUCGUGAAGAGGGAAACAACCCAGACCGCCAGCUAAGGUCCCAAAGUCAUGGUUAAGUGGGAAACGAUGUGGGAAGGCCCAGACAGCCAGGAUGUUGGCUUAGAAGCAGCCAUCAUUUAAAGAAAGCGUAAUAGCUCACUGGUCGAGUCGGCCUGCGCGGAAGAUGUAACGGGGCUAAACCAUGCACCGAAGCUGCGGCAGCGAACGUAUCACUUAAAGCGAUUCAGCGGGUUACGAUUGACGGAGCGAAGCGACGUCAAAGCGUAUACAAAGUCGAGUCGGUUUAAGGAUACGUUCGUUGGGUAGGGGAGCGUUCUGUAAGCCUGUGAAGGUGUGUCGUGAGGCAUGCUGGAGGUAUCAGAAGUGCGAAUGCUGACAUAAGUAACGAUAAAGCGGGUGAAAAGCCCGCUCGCCGGAAGACCAAGGGUUCCUGUCCAACGUUAAUCGGGGCAGGGUGAGUCGACCCCUAAGGCGAGGCCGAAAGGCGUAGUCGAUGGGAAACGGGUUAAUAUUCCCGUACUUGGUGUUACUGCGAAGGGGGGACGGAGAAGGCUAUGUUGGCCGGGCGACGGUUGUCCCGGUUUAAGCGUGUAGGUGUGUGUUCCAGGUAAAUCCGGUUCACUUUAACACUGAGGCGUGAUGACGAGGCACUACGGUGCUGAAGCAACAAAUGCCCUGCUUCCAGGAAAAGCCUCUAAGCAUCAGGUAACAUCAAAUCGUACCCCAAACCGACACAGGUGGUCAGGUAGAGAAUACCAAGGCGCUUGAGAGAACUCGGGUGAAGGAACUAGGCAAAAUGGUGCCGUAACUUCGGGAGAAGGCACGCUGACAUGUAGGUGAAGUGAUUUA